UUUUUUCCGCACUCCUUCGUAAGCGCAGUAAGCGUUGCACAGAUCGAAGUGGUGGUGCAGUGGAAUAGUUCAUCGCGCGUUGGGUAUUCCCGUACUAGCUCCCAAGAGCGAUGUUGAUACUCCUUAGAGUGAGCUCCAUAUCUUUAAUUCAAUAGCAUUUGCGACAACAAUAAAGUGUACUGAGCGCCUAGGUGUCCAGUUGAACACCGAGCAAGAACUUGAAUUUCAUAAUGUCCGAUUUGUCACGCGUUUAUUCGUCCUCCAAAAAGGCAGCCUUGUAUAAGACAACAUAUUGAGAAACGGACAGAGACGAAGUUUGUGGAUGGCUCUUCAGCGUAGUUCUACUGAUGAUCGGUGGCAACCGCCAAGGAAGGACAAGGAAGAGGAGGCGAAUGCAGCGCGUGACUAAAAAGUGCGCGUGAACAAGAAGAUCCAACACAAGCGGAGUCACGUCGCCUUACCAACAUAAUGGCGCAGUCCCCGGAAAAAACGACUUCCCAGGCGGCGCACGCUGCUGCUACUGCCGAAUCGGCGACGGCUGCCGGCGGUGCAGCGCCCCACCUGUCACCCCCGACAACGCUGGUGCCCCCAUCGUCG
Molecule: long non-coding RNA, 597 nt
Filed under: Dermacentor andersoni
Lineage: Eukaryota; Metazoa; Arthropoda; Arachnida; Ixodida; Ixodidae
Description: uncharacterized LOC126533062
Source: RNAcentral